CGGUCAGGUGGUGCCUUUACGGACGUUUAGUGUGGUAUGGAAUUCUUAAAGUGUAAAGAAAUAGCACGCUGUUUAUCACGUGAACCUGGAAACAGUCUGCACAGCGUUCCUCCAGGACCAGGUGGCAUUCAGGGGCCAGGACACCGGAGGAAGAAAGUUAAACUCUUCUGUCUCAAUGGUCAUCUUGUAAGUACAUCAGUCCAUUUGUUCCUCUCAUAAAAACAAGAGUUUCUGAAUGUUUCAAUCGCCUGCAGCCAAGAGGACAUAGUGUACAUUACUGAGCAGCAUGGCCCGUUGAUCACAGCAGGAAGGGGGGAUAUGGGCCUUUUCCUUCCCUGGGGUCAGCCAGACAUGAGCUGACCUUCUACAAGGCCUCGCUCUGUUUUGCUGGUUCACGUCCACCAGUCAGCGGUAACCAUUUGUCAAUGACAUCAUGUGUAGCUAUGAUGAGGUGAAUCAACAACAGACCCUGGCCGUGCGGACAAUGGCUAACUUGACAUUCCUCGCCAUGGUAACAGCUUUGUGUUUAGUUUGUGUGUUUCUUUUGUGUUUAUAGAGAUUAUCGUUUUUGAUUUUAUAUUAGUUGUUAUUUUUAAGUAGUUCUGGCCUCCCCUUGUUAUUUUACUUCCAGUCUUUUAGUGUGGUUUUGGUAGUAUUACUUUUGCAAAUGUUUACUUAAAGUUAUGGCCCCAUUCUAGUUUCUGUAUUUUUAGUAGGGGUCAUAUAUUUUUACGAUAUAAUGAAAGAACCUCAGAUCAUGAAGUCUUUUUAAAAAUAGAUGUAUCCACAUAAGUUCCACAUUCAGUUUUAUACCCAGACAUCAUUCUAUAGUUUUGUCCUGCUUACACAAAAAGUAAAAAAACAUUUAAUGUAAAUUUUAUCCUGUAUUUUAAUUUUUAGAAACUCGCCAAGUUUUUUCACCUCCUGAAAUUGCCAAUAACAAAACCAGCUGCUCAAAACUCUCCUAAGAAGCUGUGGUUCCCCAACCUAGGGAUCGGACAUCCACCUAGGGGUCACAAGAUAAAUGUGAGCCAUGGUAAGACGAUUAAUGGGAUAAAAAAAAAGAAAAAUGACGUUUUGCUACACAAUUUUUUUGGGGGGGAUUUUCUCUAAUCUUAGCUUUUUGUAAAAUAUUGGAUUCUUUUUUACUCUGCACGGGGGUAGACACUGUGUUUUUUGUAAGAUGUCAUAAGCCAAAAAGGUGACAAAAUUUUUAUCUGAAAGGUAACCAGUAACUAUAGCUGUCAGAUAAAGUAGUGAACCGUGCAAUGUCUCCCUUUGUAAUGUAGUGGAAUAUAAAGUAAUCAUGAAAUGGAAUUACUACAAGGACCUCAAAAUUGUAAAGUACAGUUGAGUAAAUGUACUUUUAACCAGUAGUUAACGAGAAAGCCGCGCUGACGUUGAUUGUCUUAGCUUAGCUUAGCAUAAUGAUUGGAAACGGAAGAAAACAUCUAGCGUGGCUCUGUCUAAAACACACCUACCUCCAACACAUUCAUACAAAACCCAAAAUCUAAUUUUACCACAAGUAGAUUUUUCCUGCAUGUAACCACAAAGCUUUGGACAGAGCCUGGCUAGCUGGUUCCUCCUCUUUCCAGUCUUUAUGCUAAGCUAAGAUAAGCUAAGCUAAACUAACCUAAUGGACGUUCGGCUUGAGAGUAGUAUUGAUUUUCUUGUGUAACUCUCAACUAGAAAGCGAUUUAAGCACAGUCCCAAAAUGACUAACUAUUUCUUUAAUGACCGACUGGCAUCUCAGCACUGUAGCCGUAUAUCAGUAUUGC
This is a long non-coding RNA of Dicentrarchus labrax (European seabass), 1778 nucleotides long. Lineage: Eukaryota; Metazoa; Chordata; Actinopteri; Moronidae. The record is from Ensembl.